AGAGUUUGAUCCUGGCUCAGAUUGAACGCUGGCGGCAUGCUUUACACAUGCAAGUCGAGCGGCAGCGCGGGGGCAACCCUGGCGGCGAGCGGCGAACGGGUGAGGAAUACAUCGGAACGUACCCCGGAGUGGGGGAUAACGCCGCGAAAGCGGCGCUAAUACCGCAUAUGCUCUGAGGAGGAAAGUGGGGGACCUGCAAGGGCCUCACGCUCUGGGAGCGGCCGAUGUCCGAUUAGCUAGUUGGUGGGGUAAAGGCCCACCAAGGCGACGAUCGAUAGCUGGUCUGAGAGGAUGAUCAGCCACACUGGGACUGAGACACGGCCCAGACUCCUACGGGAGGCGGCAGUGGGGAAUAUUGGACAAUGGGCGCAAGCCUGAUCCAGCAAUGCCGCGUGUGUGAAGAAGGUCUUCGGAUUGUAAAGCACUUUCGACGGGGACGAUGAUGACGGUACCCGUAGAAGAAGCCCCGGCUAACUUCGUG
RNAcentral lists this ribosomal RNA (481 nucleotides) under uncultured bacterium. RNAcentral describes it as "bacterial SSU rRNA". It matches the Rfam family "Bacterial small subunit ribosomal RNA", at positions 8 to 507 of the family's 1533-position model. The record is from RNAcentral.